UAUAUAUAUAUAUAUAUUUUUUUUCUUUUGAUUCCCAAUUUAUUUUCCCUACUGCCUUGUUUGAGACACUUUUUUCCUGCAAUAGUGUGUUUCAGCAGUUUCUAUUUGUCUCCUGUCUAAGUCAGCCAUUUUAUGGUGUUUUAGACUUAAGUCCAUUUUCAGUUUGUUUUGCUGGACUGUAUCAACGUGAGAUCGAGCUGAUGGUUGCAUGAUCCUUAAUGGCAGGAUUGUUACUGCACUAAUGCUGCCAUCUUGCUUCAUUUAAUCUAUGCAUUGCUGUGCACUUUUUUGUGUUAUUUUUGUAACUGGAAGUUUUAACAGGGGCCAUGCUUUGGCAGAUCAGAAAGUCCUACUGGUAUAACUGAAUAUUUUUUAUUUUUAUUGUUUUCUUCCUUCCCCCUCCUAAUUAUCAGAGUUUCACCCAUGUACAGAAAAACAGUAAGGGUGGAAUGUAAUCAGUGUAAAACAUUUCACAACUGCAUUUCCCCAAAAAUGUUUGACACUGUGCUAAUCUAGUUAAUUUAGUUCAUGGAAAAAUACUACUGUGUUUAAAAGCUUUUUAGGAAAUUUUGACAGUAUUUUUGUACAAAGAUUUUUUUGAGAAAAUACUUGUUAAGUUAUUCUAUUUUAAUUUGCCAAUGUCAAUAAAGAGCUGCAAAGUACAC
This is a long non-coding RNA of Nanorana parkeri, 665 nucleotides long. RefSeq lists it as uncharacterized. The transcript is spliced from 3 exons. Lineage: Eukaryota; Metazoa; Chordata; Amphibia; Anura; Dicroglossidae. The record is from RefSeq and is a predicted model, not a curated record.